This 253-nucleotide ribosomal RNA is filed under the name uncultured prokaryote. RNAcentral's name for it is "partial 16S ribosomal RNA". It matches the Rfam family "Bacterial small subunit ribosomal RNA", at positions 524 to 776 of the family's 1533-position model. The record is from RNAcentral.
UACGUAGGGACCAAGCGUUGUUCGGAUUUACUGGGCGUAAAGGGCGCGUAGGCGGCUUGACAAGUCACUUGUGAAAUCUCCGGGCUUAACUCGGAACGGCCAAGUGAAACUGUCAUGCUAGAGUGCAGAAGGGGCAAUCGGAAUUCUUGGUGUAGCGGUGAAAUGCGUAGAUAUCACUUGGAACGCCAACGGUGAAAACAGCUCGCUGGGGGUAUCCUGACGCUGAGACACGAAAGCCAGGGGAGCAAACGGG